Molecule: small nucleolar RNA, 74 nt
Filed under: Neogale vison (American mink)
Lineage: Eukaryota; Metazoa; Chordata; Mammalia; Carnivora; Mustelidae
Description: Neovison vison (American mink) Small nucleolar RNA SNORD113/SNORD114 family (ENSNVIG00000009476.1)
Source: RNAcentral
UCGUCCUUUGGUGGCAACUGGUGGUGUUUGUGUUUGGGUCAUGCAUAAUACGGGCCUGGGAUUCUGAGGUCCAA